CCUACGGGUGGCAGCAGUGAGGAAUAUUGGUCAAUGGACGAGAGUCUGAACCAGCCAAGUAGCGUGAAGGAUGACUGCCCUAUGGGUUGUAAACUUCUUUUAUAUGGGAAUAAAAUGUUCCACGUGUGGGAUUUUGUAUGUAACAUAUGAAUAAGGAUCGGCUAACUCCGUGCCAGCAGCCGCGGUAAUACGGAGGAUCCGAUCGUUAUCCGGAUUUAUUGGGUUUAAAGGGAGCGUAGGUGGAUUGUUAAGUCAGUUGUGAAAGUUUGCGGCUCAACCGUAAAAUUGCAGUUGAAACUGGCAGUCUUGAGUACAGUAGAGGUGGGCGGAAUUCGUGGUGUAGCGGUGAAAUGCUUAGAUAUCACGAAGAACUCCGAUUGCGAAGGCAGUUCACUGGACUGCAACUGACACUGAGGCUCGAAAGUGUGGGUAUCAAACAGGAUUAGAUACCCGUGUAGUC
Molecule: ribosomal RNA, 460 nt
Filed under: uncultured bacterium
Lineage: Bacteria
Description: partial 16S ribosomal RNA
Rfam family: Bacterial small subunit ribosomal RNA
Source: RNAcentral